UGUUAAAACAUGUUAGUAUCAUAAUGCAGAGAAUAAAGAGAAGCUAGAUGAUUGUUGUUGUAUUUCUUGUUAUUUCUUACUGAUACACUUCUCCCAUUUAUAGUGUUUGAUGGGAGAUGAUAUUCAAUAUUGCUGAUACAAAGUCAUAAGGAUCCCUUUGAUUAAGGGAUCCUUAGUUUUCUUUUGAUCUACCUUUGGAGUUAAUACUUGCUGCUUUUACUGACUUUGGUAUCUUAUUCUCAACACUCCCCCUCAAGUUGAGUGACGGGAUUUCCGAUACUCAACUUGGAAAGAACUUCUGAAAAACUUUUGAAGUCCACAGCUUUGGUUAAGAUAUCAGCGAGCUGAUCUUCGGACCUCACAAACGGGAGCUCCACAAUCUUUUCCUCAAUCUUUUCCUUGAUAAAGUGCCUAUCCACUUCGACAUGUUUAGUUCUAUCAUG
Molecule: long non-coding RNA, 443 nt
Filed under: Salvia miltiorrhiza (redroot sage)
Lineage: Eukaryota; Viridiplantae; Streptophyta; Magnoliopsida; Lamiales; Lamiaceae
Description: long non-coding RNA (SMIL_LNC013548)
Source: RNAcentral